UACGUAGGGGGCAAGCGUUGUCCGGAUUUAUUGGGCGUAAAGAGCGUGUAGGCGGCUAGGUAGGUCCGUUGUGAAAACUCGAGGCUCAACCUCGAGACGUCGAUGGAAACCAUCUAGCUAGAGUACGUUCGGGGCAGAGGGAAUUCCUGGUGUAGCGGUGAAAUGCGUAGAGAUCAGGAAGAACACCAGUGGCGAAGGCGCUCUGCUAGGCCGUAACUGACACUGAGGGACGAAAGCUAGGGGAGCGAAUGGG
Molecule: ribosomal RNA, 253 nt
Filed under: uncultured bacterium
Lineage: Bacteria
Description: partial 16S ribosomal RNA
Rfam family: Bacterial small subunit ribosomal RNA
Source: RNAcentral